CCUACGGGGCGCAGCAGUGGGGAAUAUUGCGCAAUGGGCGAAAGCCUGACGCAGCGACGCCGCGUGGGGGAUGACGGCCUUCGGGUUGUAAACCUCUUUCAGCAGGGACGAAGUUGACGUGUACCUGCAGAAGAAGCGCCGGCUAACUACGUGCCAGCAGCCGCGGUGAUACGUAGGGCGCAAGCGUUGUCCGGAAUUAUUGGGCGUAAAGAGCUCGUAGGUGGCUGGUCGCGUCUGCCGUGAAAGCCCGCAGCUUAACUGCGGGUCUGCGGUGGAUACGGGCCGGCUAGAGGUAGGUAGGGGCAAGUGGAAUUCCUGGUGUAGCGGUGAAAUGCGCAGAUAUCAGGAGGAACACCGGUGGCGAAGGCGGCUUGCUGGGCCUUACCUGACGCUGAGGAGCGAAAGCGUGGGGAGCGAACAGGAUUAGAUACCCCCGUAGUC
This 441-nucleotide ribosomal RNA is filed under the name uncultured bacterium. RNAcentral describes it as "bacterial SSU rRNA". It matches the Rfam family "Bacterial small subunit ribosomal RNA", at positions 338 to 795 of the family's 1533-position model. The record is from RNAcentral.